GGGGACCUGCGGAAGGAUCAUUG
This 23-nucleotide ribosomal RNA is filed under the name Opuntia robusta (nopal tapon). RNAcentral's name for it is "partial 18S ribosomal RNA". Lineage: Eukaryota; Viridiplantae; Streptophyta; Magnoliopsida; Caryophyllales; Cactaceae. The record is from RNAcentral.